GACGAACGCUGGCGGCGUGCUUAACACAUGCAAGUCGAACGGUGAACGAGGGAGCUUGCUCCCUCCGGAUCAGUGGCGAACGGGUGAGUAACACGUGAGCAAUCUGCCCCGAACUCUGGGAUAAGCGUUGGAAACGACGUCUAAUACCGGAUACGACGCGGGAGGGCAUCCUCUCCGCGUGGAAAGAACUUCGGUUCGGGAUGAGCUCGCGGCCUAUCAGCUUGUUGGUGAGGUAACGGCUCACCAAGGCGACGACGGGUAGCCGGCCUGAGAGGGUGACCGGCCACACUGGGACUGAGACACGGCCCAGACUCCUACGGGAGGCAGCAGUGGGGAAUAUUGCACAAUGGGCGCAAGCCUGAUGCAGCAACGCCGCGUGAGGGACGACGGCCUUCGGGUUGUAAACCUCUUUUAGCAGGGAAGAAGCGACAGUGACGGUACCUGCAGAAAAAGCACCGGCUAACUACGUG
This 470-nucleotide ribosomal RNA is filed under the name uncultured bacterium. Its description in RNAcentral is "partial 16S ribosomal RNA". It matches the Rfam family "Bacterial small subunit ribosomal RNA", at positions 28 to 507 of the family's 1533-position model. The record is from RNAcentral.